Molecule: ribosomal RNA, 253 nt
Filed under: uncultured bacterium
Lineage: Bacteria
Description: partial 16S ribosomal RNA
Rfam family: Bacterial small subunit ribosomal RNA
Source: RNAcentral
UACGGAGGUGGCAAGCGUUACUCGGAUUCAUUGGGUGUAAAGGGCAGGUAGGCGGCCUAACAAGUGGGGGGUGAAAUCUUCCGACUCAAUCGGAAAACUGCCUUCCAAACUAUUGGGCUUGAGGCUGGAAGAGGAGAAUGGAAUUCCCGGUGUAAGGGUGAAAUCUGUAGAUAUCGGGAGGAACACCAGUGGCGAAAGCGAUUCUCUGGUUCAGCCCUGACGCUGAGCUGCGAAAGCUAGGGGAGCAAACAGG